ACGAACGCUGGCGGCGUGCUUAACCCCUGCAAGUCGAACGGAAAGGCCCUGCUUGCAGGGUACUCGAGUGGCGAACGGGUGAGUAACACGUGGGUGAUCUGCCCUGCACUUCGGGAUAAGCCUGGGAAACUGGGUCUAAUACCGGAUAGGAGCCAUUUUUAGUGUGAUGGUUGGAAAGUUUUUUCGGUGUAGGAUGAGCUCGCGGCCUAUCAGCUUGUUGGUGGGGUAAUGGCCUACCAAGGCGGCGACGGGUAGCCGGCCUGAGAGGGUGGACGGCCACAUUGGGACUGAGAUACGGCCCAGACUCCUACGGGAGGCAGCAGUGGGGAAGAUUGCACAAUGGGCGCAAGCCUGAUGCAGCGACGCCGCGUGGGGGAUGACGGCCUUCGGGUUGUAAACUCCUUUCGCUAGGGACGAAGCUUUUUGUGACGGUACCUAGAUAAGAAGCACCGGCUAACUACGUG
Molecule: ribosomal RNA, 464 nt
Filed under: uncultured bacterium
Lineage: Bacteria
Description: partial 16S ribosomal RNA
Rfam family: Bacterial small subunit ribosomal RNA
Source: RNAcentral